GAAAAUAAAAAAUACUUCAGGAUGGGUUUUUUCUUUUGUUUGAAAGGAGGAGUGUUACAGUUCAUGGAAAAACUUGCAAGUUACUUUGGGUCUAGACUCGGUAACUUCUUAAAACAUUUUGGGAUGUUUGCGCAACCUAGAUAAAAAGCAUACUUUAUCAGCAAAACCACUCACUAAGACUGAAGAACCAGUUCUAAACUUCUGUCACUUAGGAAUGAGCAGCACCAAACCUGUGGUUUGAACGAAAACUUCUCUGCAACCUUAAGUUUAACUUUCAAACAUCUUAAGGUCAAUAGAAAAUGUGUUGUAAUUUGGAAACUGGUAUGCCUCUUCAAGCUAGAAUAAGCUGUGCUAUGAAUGUUCACAGAAAGAAGCAGAGCUGGUAUAGAGUGUUUCAGUUCUCAAAGAAGUUCUUCUCUGGGGUACUCAGUAUAUUGAAGACAUGAUAACAAAUAUCCAGGGUCUUAGAGGACUCUAGAAGAGCAAGUCAUCCCUUAAACUCCACGUAACACCAAGAAGUUCAUGGAAAGUCAGGGUCUAGACCAGAUUACAUCUCAGAAAAAUGAGCUGUACUGAGUUUGGAAAAAUCAGUCACAAAUCAGUUCAUUGUUUGUAUAUAAAGAACAAUCACUAUCUGUCUGGAGACUUAAGUUACUGUGAAAUUUUGGAUCAGCAUGUGAUCUGUCAAUCUACUUCCUAAGUUUUUUUUGCUAAAAUAUGGUCUCCAAAUGGGUUGCUCAGAGAUGGACAAAAUAAAUUUGAUUUUUGGAGGAACUGUUGCA
RNAcentral lists this long non-coding RNA (782 nucleotides) under Apteryx owenii (little spotted kiwi). RNAcentral's name for it is "lncRNA (ENSAOWG00000014468.1)". Lineage: Eukaryota; Metazoa; Chordata; Aves; Apterygiformes; Apterygidae. The record is from RNAcentral.